CAGUAGCCGCGGUAAUACGGAGGAUCCAAGCGUUAUCCGGAAUCAUUGGGUUUAAAGGGUCCGUAGGCGGUCUUGUAAGUCAGUGGUGAAAGCCCAUCGCUCAACGGUGGAACGGCCAUUGAUACUGCAGGACUUGAAUUAUUGGGAAGUAACUAGAAUAUGUAGUGUAGCGGUGAAAUGCUUAGAGAUUACAUGGAAUACCAAUUGCGAAGGCAGGUUACUACCAAUUGAUUGACGCUGAUGGACGAAAGCGUGGGUAGCGAACAGGAUUAGAUACCCGAGUAGUCCCUGUAUCUUAUAC
This 301-nucleotide ribosomal RNA is filed under the name uncultured bacterium. RNAcentral describes it as "partial 16S ribosomal RNA". It matches the Rfam family "Bacterial small subunit ribosomal RNA", at positions 509 to 807 of the family's 1533-position model. The record is from RNAcentral.